CCUACGGGCGGCAGCAGUAGGGGAUAUUGCUCAAUGGGGGAAACCCUGAAGCAGCAACGCCGCGUGGAGGAUGAAGGUUCUAGGAUUGUAAACUCCUUUUGUUAGAGAAGAUAAUGACGGUAUCUAACGCAUAAGCACCGGCUAACUCAGUGCCAGCAGCCGCGGUCAUCCGUAGGUGGCACGCGUUGUCCGGAUUUAUUGGGUGUAAAGGGCGUGCAGCCGGGAAGACAAGGCAGAUGUGAAAUCCCGCGGAUCAACCGCGGAACUGCCUUUGAAACUGUUUUUCUUGAGUACCGGAGAGGUCAUCGGAAUUCCUGGUGUAGCGGUGAAAUGCGUAGAUAUAAGGAAGAACACCAGUGGCGAAGGCGGAUGACUGGACGGCAACUGACGGUGAGGCGCGAAAGCGUGGGGAGCAAACAGGAUUAGAUACCCCAGUAGUC
Molecule: ribosomal RNA, 440 nt
Filed under: uncultured bacterium
Lineage: Bacteria
Description: partial 16S ribosomal RNA
Rfam family: Bacterial small subunit ribosomal RNA
Source: RNAcentral